This 28-nucleotide ribosomal RNA is filed under the name Sarocladium kiliense. RNAcentral's name for it is "partial 28S ribosomal RNA". Lineage: Eukaryota; Fungi; Ascomycota; Sordariomycetes; Hypocreales; Sarocladiaceae. RNAcentral also lists the same sequence under 2 other names. The record is from RNAcentral.
GGUUGACCUCGGAUCAGGUAGGAAUACC